Molecule: long non-coding RNA, 894 nt
Organism: Tympanuchus pallidicinctus (lesser prairie-chicken)
Lineage: Eukaryota; Metazoa; Chordata; Aves; Galliformes; Phasianidae
Exons: 6
Source: RefSeq, a predicted model, not a curated record
GGUCCUAUGGGGCCUUAUGGGGUCCUAUGGGGUUUUAUGGGAUCCUAUGGGGUUUAUGGGGCUGUAUGGGAUCUUAUGGGGUCUUAUGGGGUCUUAUGGGGUCUUAUGGGGUCUUAUGGGUUCCUAUGGGUUCCUAUGGGGUCCUAUGUGGUCUUAUGGGUUCCUAUGGGUUCCUAUGGGGCCCUAUGGGGUCCUAUGGGGUCUUAUGGGGUCCUAUGGGGUCUUAUGGGGUCCUAUGGGGUCCUAUGGGGUCCUAUGGGGUUUUAUGGGGUCUCAUGGGGUCUUAUGGGAUCUUAUGGGGUCUUAUGGGGUGCUAUGGGGUUUUAUGGGGUCUUAUGGGAUCUUAUGCGGUGUAAUGGGAUGUAUGGGGUCUUAUGGGGUGUUUUGGGUUCCUAUGGGGUCUUAUGGGUUCCUAUGGGUUCCUAUGGGUUCCUAUGAUGUCCUAUGGGGUCCUAUGGGGUCCUAUGGGGUCCUAUGGGUUCCUAUGGGGUCUGAUGGGUUCCUAUGGGGUCUUAUGGGUUCCUAUGGGGUCUUAUGGGGUCUUAUGGGUUCCUAUGGGUUCCUAUGGGUUCCUAUGGGGUUUUAUGGAGUCUUAUGGGGUCUUAUGGGUUCCUAUGGGGUCUUAUGGGUUCCUAUGGGGUUUUAUGGGGUCUUAUGGGGCCUUAUGGGGUCUGAUGGGUUCCUAUGGGUUCCUAUGGGGUUUUAUGGGGUCUUAUGUGUUCCUAUGGGGUCUUACGGGUUCCUCUGGGUUCCUAUGAGUUCCUAUGGGGUCUUAUUGGUUCCUAUGGGUUCCUAUGGGGUCUGAUGGGUUCCUAUGGGUUCCUAUGGGGUCCUAUGGGUUCCUAUGGGUUCCUAUGGGGUUUUAUGGGUUCCUAUGGGUUCUUACGGGGUUCC